GGGGUGGGGGGUGCUAUACAUGCAGUUGAGCGCUGAAGAUUGGUACUUGUACCGAUUGGAUGAGCAGCGAACGGGUGAGUAACGCGUGGGGAAUCUGCCUUUGAGCGGGGGACAACAUUUGGAAACGAAUGCUAAUACCGCAUAAUAGCUUUAAACAUAAGUUUUAAGUUUGAAAGAUGCAAUUGCAUCACUCAAAGAUGAUCCCGCGUUGUAUUAGCUAGUUGGUGAGGUAAAGGCUCACCAAGGCGAUGAUACAUAGCCGACCUGAGAGGGUGAUCGGCCACAUUGGGACUGAGACACGGCCCAAACUCCUACGGGAGGCAGCAGUAGGGAAUCUUCGGCAAUGGACGAAAGUCUGACCGAGCAACGCCGCGUGAGUGAAGAAGGUUUUCGGAUCGUAAAACUCUGUUGUUAGAGAAGAACGACGAGGAGAGUGGAAAGCUCCUCGUGUGACGGUAUCUAACCAGAAAGGGACGGCUAACUACGUGCCAGCAGCCGCGGUAAUACGUAGGUCCCGAGCGUUGUCCGGAUUUAUUGGGCGUAAAGCGAGCGCAGGUGGUUUAUUAAGUCUGGUGUAAAAGGCAGUGGCUCAACCAUUGUAUGCAUUGGAAACUGGUAGACUUGAGUGCAGGAGAGGAGAGUGGAAUUCCAUGUGUAGCGGUGAAAUGCGUAGAUAUAUGGAGGAACACCGGUGGCGAAAGCGGCUCUCUGGCCUGUAACUGACACUGAGGCUCGAAAGCGUGGGGAGCAAACAGGAUUAGAUACCCUGGUAGUCCACGCCGUAAACGAUGAGUGCUAGAUGUAGGGAGCUAUAAGUUCUCUGUAUCGCAGCUAACGCAAUAAGCACUCCGCCUGGGGAGUACGACCGCAAGGUUGAAACUCAAAGGAAUUGACGGGGGCCCGCACAAGCGGUGGAGCAUGUGGUUUAAUUCGAAGCAACGCGAAGAACCUUACCAGGUCUUGACAUACUCGUGCUAUUCCUAGAGAUAGGAAGUUCCUUCGGGACACGGGAUACAGUGGUGCAUGGUUGUCGUCAGCUCGUGUCGUGAGAUGUUGGGGUUAAGUCCCGCAACGAGCGCACCCCUAUUGUAGUUGCCAUCAUUAAGUUGGGCACUCUAACGAGACUGCCCGGUGGAAUAAACCGGAGGAA
This 1150-nucleotide ribosomal RNA is filed under the name Lactococcus lactis. Its description in RNAcentral is "bacterial SSU rRNA". It matches the Rfam family "Bacterial small subunit ribosomal RNA", at positions 36 to 1171 of the family's 1533-position model. The record is from RNAcentral. Lineage: Bacteria; Bacillati; Bacillota; Bacilli; Lactobacillales; Streptococcaceae.